CGGUGUGAUCAUACCAGCACUAAAGCAACGGAUCCCAUAAAAACUCCGAAGUUAAGCGUGCUUGGGCGAGAGUAGUACUAGGAUGGGUGACCUCCUGGGAAGUCCUCGUAUUGCAUUCC
Non-coding RNA from Triticum aestivum (bread wheat), 119 nucleotides. Lineage: Eukaryota; Viridiplantae; Streptophyta; Magnoliopsida; Poales; Poaceae. The record is from Rfam.